Non-coding RNA from Vicugna pacos (alpaca), 3230 nucleotides. Lineage: Eukaryota; Metazoa; Chordata; Mammalia; Artiodactyla; Camelidae. The record is from RefSeq and is a predicted model, not a curated record.
CACUGGAAACGUGUGUGUGUGUGUGUGUGUGUGUGUGUGUGUGUGUGUGUGUGUUUACGGGUGCAUGUGUUUACCCUGUGGCAACACAAAGUGAUAAACGGGCCCUUGCAUGCAUGUGGCUAAAAACAGCUUGAGAAUUUCAUUGUGGACAGUCCAAAGGUGGUAGCGUCUGUGAAAGUCACGUGGUCCUACACGUGCCCUCAAAUUUCUGCUCCCUUUAAGCUGUAAGUAGACUGGGCCCCGGGAGUAAUCAGGGAAGUUACUGGAGGUUUCUAUUGUAACCCAGGGUUUUCUAGAAGAGAGAGGGAGAGGCGGCUCAACGAGGUUCCUCUCGGACCCAAAGCAGGCCCAACCAGGCUCACCCUAACCGCGUGACAUGGCCUCAGGUUUAGCGGACAUACAAAGACCCCACCCACCUUACCUGGCCGCUCUGAGGCAUGCACAGCUCUCUGAGAUCUUGCUCUCCGAAGAGACUGCGGUAGAAGGGACGCCUGUUACGGCCUCCGGCCGGCAGAGGGAGCUCGGCCAUAGAGUGAAGCGGGGAGCGCUUCCGGCCGGCGCUGCCCGCACUGCGCAGCCGAGGAGGAGCCGCGGGCGGAUGGAGGAGGCGCUGACUGGGCUCGCGGCCUGCGAAGCAAUGAGCGCGGCGGGCUCGGGGCCUCGCCGCCGGGCGCGGGUGUCCCGCCUGGUCUCCUUCAGCGCGAGCCAUCGGCUCCACAGCAAAUCUCUGAGUAAGGAAGAAAACUUGAAACUGUUUGGGAAAUGCAACAAUCCAAAUGGUCAUGGCCACAAUUAUAAAGUUGUGGUGACAGUCCAUGGAGAGAUUGAUCCUGUUACAGGAAUGGUUAUGAAUUUGACUGACCUCAAAGAGCAUAUGGAGGAGGCAAUUAUGAAGCCCCUUGACCAUAAGAAUCUGGAUCUGGAUGUGCCAUACUUUGCAGAUGUUGUAAGCACGACAGAAAAUGUAGCUGUAUAUAUCUGGGAAAACCUCCAGAAAUUUCUUCCUGUGGGAGUUCUUUACAAAGUCAAAGUAUAUGAAACGGACAAUAAUAUUGUAGUCUAUAAAGGAGAAUAGCUCCUAGAGGUUACUACUACAGAAAAAUUUAAUUUCUUUCCACAUUUGAAGAUCUUUAUCCCCCUCAUCCCCUUGGAUAAUUGUUUUGCCUCCACAUUGGAUUCUGGGGGACUUGAUUUAUUGAAAUCAUUGUGAGUAAGAUCUGUUUUAAAUUCAAAUCCAUUUUAAAACCAAAUUUGUGAUGUAUUCUGAGUAUCAUUUAAAGAGUUUUUUAAUCUAUAGAUUAAAAUCACUUCAGCAAAAUGUUUUGGUGUAGAAUUAUUUGAAAGCAAAAGAAAUCUACUUUUGUUUGUCCAUUAUCUUCUUUUUAGUGUUCAUUUUUUUCUCAGUAUAAUAUAAAUAGCAAAAAUAUAAUAAGACUUAAACAGUAGGUGAAUCUUGUACAAAAUAAAGUGCAAAUGACCACGAAGUCUGGAAACAUAGACAAUAUAUAUUUCUUAGUAUAUUGAGCUCCCUUGAUCACUUCUUCCAGGAUAUGCAAAAGGUGCAAGUAGAUUCAGUGAAAAUUAGACAGACAUCGCAUUGUAGAUGGAGGUACAAGGAUUGAUGGAGAUGCUGCUUUAGUGCACAUUGUUCAUUACAAAUUUGCACAGCUAAUUGGACUGUGAACCACUCAUGAGGAAUAGCACGUUGAACGUGUCGUGGAAUAUCAGUAAACUUUGUUUCCAGACCUUAUGGCUACCUGAACAAUUUAAACUCAGAAGACUGAAGAAUAAUCACAGGAUUCACGUAAGAAGUGACAAGAAUGACAGUCCCGGGAGCCGGCACUGCUGCAGUUCCUGCCUCCUGUGCCCAAGGAAGAUAGUUCAUGUCACUAGUUGAAUAUGAGUUACUUUUGAGCCUGGAUUUUUGCUUCAGAAUCCUUCUCAACAGUGUUCCCAGCAGCUUCUGUCAGUCAAUCAAACAUGGCAUAAGGGAUUGACCAUCUCUGACUAGAUCCUUAGAACUAGGUCUGGGUGUGACAGAAAAAUCAAAAUUGAGACUUGGAAGAGGGAUGAGAUACCACCAGAAGCCAACCUUUUAUCCAGCAGAUACCAACUGAAACAGAAGGUAAAACGAUUUGUUUAAGAUUAUCUUUCUGCUUAAUAGAACUAGAAUUUAACAGGUGUCCUGCCCCCAAAUCCCAUGCUCUUGCUCAGACGCCUCUGUACUGCUUGUCUGAAUUCAGCUCCUCAGAUUUCGUUGAGUCUAAGAAUUUUCCAGCUUCAGUUAGCAUCUUUGCUGAGGCUCCAAUAUUUGUCAUACCUUCUGCAUUGAAUCUGAGAUGGGGGGCCAGGUUGGGCCAUGAAGGAUAAAUAUGAAACUUGGCUCUAGCUUUUUGGGUCAGGACUCCUAGCAGUUGGUCUUGGACACGGCAGCAGGGGAGCGGGGCCUGCAGGAAUACUUCUGGAGCAUGCAGCCUGCUUGUUGUGACAGCGAGACACCCCCCAUUCCUUCUCCUUGUCGUAUGACCCAGUUGUUCUGGGGGAGCCCAGGUGAUGCAGGAGCUGCCCAGGGAGCCUCUAGGGUGUCCUGGUUAAAAGUGCAGGCCCUGAAGUGGUAGAGACCACUCUUCAAAACCCAGCUUCACUACUUACUCACUGAGUGACUUUGGGCAAAUUAUUUCUCUCUCUCUGCCUGAGUGUCCUCUUCCGUAAAGUGGCUAAAUAUCAUAGGGUUGUUGUCAGAAUUAAAUGAGGUGACACAUAUAAAGUGCUUCGUUUAGUGCCUGGCAGACACUAAUAGUGGCUACCAAGUGAUGUCACAGAAAAUGGUGGAGGAAGGAGCUCCAAAAAUUGUUCCCUCCACUGAAGCAGCCAUUAAGCUGGCAAAAAAUGUCAGGGUCAACUUGUUCUGAACUCUAGAAUCUAAUAAUAAUAAUAAUAAAAAAACACUUACAUUUCUUUGGGGAAGGCUUAAUGAGGAAAGAGGCUGCUAAAUUUUGACAUGAAAUUUACGGAAGUCUGUGAGGUCACUGGCUGACCACUGAGAUAACAGAAAAGACUUCAGUGGCCACAUUCAGGAAUGCAGUCUUUGCAAAACUAAUUUAGAAAAGUUACUAGUCGAAUGGGUGACUGCAGCCCUCAACGAGCAACAACAGCGGACCCUGAUGAGAAGGGAGAAUCUGAUUUCCACAGUUACCACGUUACAAUAUUCAAAAUGUUCAGUUUUUGAC